Molecule: ribosomal RNA, 356 nt
Filed under: Exiguobacterium mexicanum
Lineage: Bacteria; Bacillati; Bacillota; Bacilli; Caryophanales
Description: bacterial SSU rRNA
Rfam family: Bacterial small subunit ribosomal RNA
Source: RNAcentral
GUCGACGGAACCCUUCGGGGGGAAGUCGACGGAAUGAGCGGCGGACGGGUGAGUAACACGUAAAGAACCUGCCCUCAGGUCUGGGAUAACCACGAGAAAUCGGGGCUAAUACCGGAUGGGUCAUCGGACCGCAUGGUCCGAGGAUGAAAGGCGCUCCGGCGUCGCCUGGGGAUGGCUUUGCGGUGCAUUAGCUAGUUGGUGGGGUAAUGGCCCACCAAGGCGACGAUGCAUAGCCGACCUGAGAGGGUGAUCGGCCACACUGGGACUGAGACACGGCCCAGACUCCUACGGGAGGCAGCAGUAGGGAAUCUUCCACAAUGGACGAAAGUCUGAUGGAGCAACGCCGCGUGAACGAU